RNAcentral lists this ribosomal RNA (503 nucleotides) under uncultured bacterium. RNAcentral's name for it is "bacterial SSU rRNA". It matches the Rfam family "Bacterial small subunit ribosomal RNA", at positions 15 to 507 of the family's 1533-position model. The record is from RNAcentral.
GAUCCUGGCUCAGAGUGAACGCUGGCGGCAGGCCUAAUACAUGCAAGUCGAACGGCAGCACAGCAGAGCUUGCUCUGUGGGUGGCGAGUGGCGGACGGGUGAGGAAUACGUGGGAAUCUGCCCAGUCGUGGGGGAUAACGUAGGGAAACUUACGCUAAUACCGCAUGCGCCCUUCGGGGGAAAGCCGGGGACCUUCGGGCCUGGCGCGAUUGGAUGAGCCCACGUCGGAUUAGCUAGUUGGCGGGGUAAAGGCCCACCAAGGCGACGAUCCGUAGCUGGUCUGAGAGGAUGAUCAGCCACACUGGAACUGAGACACGGUCCAGACUCCUACGGAAGGCAGCAGUAGGGAAUAUUGGACAAUGGGCGCAAGCCUGAUCCAGCCAUGCCGCGUGAGUGAAGAAGGCCCUCGGGUUGUAAAGCUCUUUUGUCCGGAAAGAAAAGCGCCGGGUUAAUACCCUGGUGUCCUGACGGUACCGGAAGAAUAAGCACCGGCUAACUUCGUG